AUUGAACGCUGGCGGCAGGCCUAACACAUGCAAGUCGAACGAGUGGCGGACGGGUGAGUAAUGUCUGGGAAACUGCCUGAUGGAGGGGGAUAACUACUGGAAACGGUAGCUAAUACCGCAUACCAUCAGAUGUGCCCAGAUGGGAUUAGCUAGUGGGUGGGGUAAAGGCUCACCUAGGCGACGAUCCCUAGCUGGUCUGAGAGGAUGACCACCCACACUGGAACUGAGACACGGUCCAGACUCCUACGGGGGGCAGCAGUGGGGAAUAUUGGCCAAUGGGGGCAAGCCUGAUGCAGCCAUGCCGCGGGUGUGAAGAAGGCCUUCGGGUUUUAAAGCACUUUCAGCGGGGAGGCGUUACCCACAGAAGAAGCACCGGCUAACUCCGUGCCAGCAGCCGCGGUAAUAC
Molecule: ribosomal RNA, 406 nt
Filed under: uncultured bacterium
Lineage: Bacteria
Description: partial 16S ribosomal RNA
Rfam family: Bacterial small subunit ribosomal RNA
Source: RNAcentral